Molecule: ribosomal RNA, 454 nt
Filed under: uncultured bacterium
Lineage: Bacteria
Description: partial 16S ribosomal RNA
Rfam family: Bacterial small subunit ribosomal RNA
Source: RNAcentral
GAUGAACGCUGACAGAAUGCUUAACACAUGCAAGUCAACUUGAACUUCGGUUUGGGUGGCGGACGGGUGAGUAACGCGUAAAGAACUUGCCUCACAGUUAGGGACAACAUUUGGAAACGAAUGCUAAUACCUGAUAUUAUGAUUUUAGGGCAUCCUAGAAUUAUGAAAGCUAUAUGCGCUGUGAGAGAGCUUUGCGUCCCAUUAGCUAGUUGGAGAGGUAACGGCUCACCAAGGCGAUGAUGGGUAGCCGGCCUGAGAGGGUGAACGGCCACAAGGGGACUGAGACACGGCCCUUACUCCUACGGGAGGCAGCAGUGGGGAAUAUUGGACAAUGGACCAAGAGUCUGAUCCAGCAAUUCUGUGCGCACGAUGAAGUUUUUCGGAAUGUAAAGUGCUUUCAGUUGGGAAGAAAAAAAUGACGAUACCAACAGAAGAAGUGACGGCUAAAUACGUG